UGGUGUCGCUUGGAAUAUCCUGUCUGCUGGUCCCCACGUCACAUCAGAAGACUUAUCAGUUUCACGUACCAUCAACUUCAAAGUGUGCAUAAUGAUACAUUUCAUACAUGGUUCAAAACUCAUGUUGAAGAGCAGCUAAAUGCAAGAAAUUCUAACUUUUCAGAAGUAAUCAAAGCAUUAGCAAUGAGCCCUAAUCCUCGAGGGAGAAGUUUCAAGGCUUAUAUGAUUAAUGGAUUUCAUUUUCGUACAAAGGCUUUCGAAACUAGUAGAACAACUCAAAAUAGUGGAGUAAUGCUUAGGGCAAAAACUACUAGCUAUGCUAGUAGGAAAGAUAGGAAUCCAAUUGCUGGAGAAGUUAUUUACUAUGGAGUAUUGAAAAAUAUUAUUCAAGUACACUAUAGUAAUAGGAUGAAGUUUGUUAUGUUCAAUUGUGAUUGGGUUGAUAAUCAAAGAGGGAAAAUGGAAGAUGAUUUCAAAUUUACCUUGGUGAAUUUUGAUCAUCUAAUGUAUAGAGAUAAUCAGAUGGCGAAUGAACCAUUCAUAUUUGCUAAUCAAGCAAAGCAAGUAUUCUAUAGCAAUGAUCCAGUGGAACCCAAAUGGCAUGUUGUUCUGAAAAUGAGUCGCAGAGAUAAUUAUGAUGUUUACUCUUCUUUGGAUCAAGCAGAUUCAUAUUCUUCUCAAACUUUGGAUGAUAAUAUUCCUAUUAGGGAUGAGGAUAAUGCUUGGGUGAGGGAAGAUUUAGUUGUUGAUGGAGCCAUUGAUCUUGGACAAGACGAAGAAGUUGCAGAGAAUGAUGAAACAUAUUAGGAUUGUUUAUUGUAUUGUUAAUCUUUAAUAUACAUUUUUAUUUAUUAUUGAGUAGAGACUUGCUUUUUAAUUGUAUAUUUCUAUUUCAUUUUUAUUCUUCAUUUAUGCUUGAUGCAUAAUCAAUUUUUGAGUAUUAAUCUGAUUUAUUUAUAAUUUAAUAAGUGGUCAUCAAUGUUUUCUUUUCCAAGUUUAGCUUCAAAUGUGUAAUUGAUCUUUUUUGGCCUUUGGAUUGAUAUGUUGAUUUUUUUCAUUAUAGGUCAUCAUGGCUAGACAAAAAAAGAAAGGGACAACCAUGUUGGAAAAAUUAAAUGGUGAUCAAACAAAUGUGGUAAAAGGUAAUAUAUCUCAAGUGCAUCCUUCUACACGUGUAAUAGAGAAGCCGCAACAACAAAGGCCAAAUAACAUAUUACGUCCAAUAGUUCAUCAUCCACAAACAAGAUCCAAGCAUCAAUCACAAGUUCAACAAGCAUCAACAUUGCAAGCUCAAACUUUGGAGCUCAUUGAUGAACUACAAAACUCGCAAUCAAUUGAUCCACCUAAUUCACAACCUGAAUUAACCUUGCCAAAUUCAGGAGAAACUAAUAAUGGAGUGACUAAAAAACAAGGAAGAGGCCCUGCUCAGGGUAAUUUAUCUCAAGUGCAUCCUCCCACACGUGUACUAGAGAAACCACAACAACAAAGACCAAAUAAUAUGUUACGUCCAAGUUCAUCGUCCACAAACAAGAUCCAAGCAUCAAUCACAAGUUCAACAAGUAUCAACAUUGCAAGCUCAAACUUUGGAGCUCAUUGAUGAACAACAAAAUUCACAAUCAAUUGAUCCACCUAAUUUACAACCUAGUUUAACCUUGCCAAAUUCAGGAGAAACUAACAAUGAAGUUACUAAAAAGAGAGGAAGAGGCCCUGCUCAAGGGGAUUUACAUGCGGGUGAAAAGUUAAUAGUUGAUUUCAAUGAAUCAUUCCAGGCUAUUGGACCGAAUGCAGGGAAGUAUUCAUCAUUGCUUGGUCGAAUUGCUCGUAAUGGUGUCCAAGUUCCCUUAACAUAUGUGGAAUGAUCUGACAUGCCCACACAUGUUACAGAUUAUAUCUGGAAUGAAGUUCAAGAGAACAGCAAUGCCCCUCUAGCACAUAAGUCUGUAUGUCUUAAAUCUAUUGGCGACAAAUGGAGAAAGUGGAAGAAUAGAAUUAAAACUGAUUAUUUUAAUGGAAAGACGUAUGACCAAUUGUUAACCAAUGUUCCUAAUCGUGUUGAACCUGAGCAAUGGAGGAUUCUCAUCGAGUACAGACAAAUUUCAAGAAAUUUCAAAGAAAAAUGCACUCAAUAGAGAACUUGCGGGGCCAAUACAUAGGACCGGAAGGACUUCGAUGCCUAACUUCAAAAUAAAAGCAUGUAUAAUUAUAAUAUACUAUAUUUUUUUGGUAACAAAUUUAUAAAGAUUUGUCAUUUUUAUAUAGUUGGCAGCUGAUGGAAAGUCAACUGAUCCCUUAACAACAUACAUUGAGGCUCGUUCUAAAAAUGGAGUUCCAGCUGAUGCCGAGGCUGCAAAUUUAAUAGGUCAAAUGCAAGAAAAGUUAUCAGCGGUACCUAUUGAGGAUCAAACACCUGAGUUGAGACAGAAGAUUUUCAAUAGUUUCAUGGGAAAUCAAAGUCAUGGUUAUGUUCGCACUAUGGGUUUAGGUCAUAGUCCUUCUGAUAUGCGUACUCACCCUUUGUUAUCCAAUGAACAUUCAAAUGAGUUAAUAAAAAUGGCUACGGAGAAAGCUGUAGCAGAGUGUAUGAAAGUAGUGACUCCUUUCCUAAACCAAAUGAAAUCUCAAAUAGAUGCACUUCAAUCAAAGUUAGAGAAUCAUGAAUCCCCAUUGACUCAUCUUGGUAUGGAAUCCGGUGAAUUUAGAAAUCAAAAGGUUGCAGAUAAUAUUAUUUCACAUGAACAAGGAUUGUAAAACUAACAGGUGCAACAACUUGAAAGGCACAAAGAUAUUGACAAACACAUAAAUCAUCAUUUCUUAUU
Long non-coding RNA from Zingiber officinale, 2816 nucleotides. RefSeq lists it as uncharacterized. The transcript has 10 exons. NCBI's taxonomy places the organism in Eukaryota, Viridiplantae, Streptophyta, Magnoliopsida, Zingiberales, Zingiberaceae. The record is from RefSeq and is a predicted model, not a curated record.